GAAAUGCGAUACUUGGUGUGAAUUGCAGAAUCCCGUGAACCAUCGAGUCUUUGAACGCAAGUUGCGCCCGAAGCCAUUAGGCCGAGGGCACGCCUGCCUGGGUGUCACACAUCGUUUCCCCAACGCAAACAUGUAACAAUGUUGCUAUCCAAGCUUCGUCUGUAAGGUUGCGUUCGUUCGCCGAUCGAUUCUUGUGUGCAGAGAGUUAGCGAGCUCACGCUCCUAACAAUCCAUUCAACCAUCGAUCUCAAAUCAGGCAAGGCUACCCGCUGAAUUUAA
This 279-nucleotide unclassified non-coding RNA is filed under the name uncultured fungus. RNAcentral's name for it is "sequence contains ITS1". The stretch from base 1 to 107 matches the Rfam family "5.8S ribosomal RNA", at positions 50 to 154 of the family's 154-position model. The record is from RNAcentral. Lineage: Eukaryota; Fungi.